RNAcentral lists this ribosomal RNA (380 nucleotides) under uncultured eukaryote. Its description in RNAcentral is "partial 18S ribosomal RNA". It matches the Rfam family "Eukaryotic small subunit ribosomal RNA", at positions 592 to 976 of the family's 1831-position model. The record is from RNAcentral.
CAAUAGCGUAUAUUAAAGUUGUUGCAGUUAAAAAGCUCGUAGUUGGAUUUGUGGCGUACGGUGUGUUCCGGGCACUUGUUGUCUGAGUAACCUGCUGUUGCCAUCCUUGGGUGGAACCUGUGUGGCAUUAGGUUGUCGUGCAGGGGAUGCCCAUCAUUUACUGUGAAAAAAUUAGAGUGUUCAAAGCAGGCUUAUGCCGUUGAAUAUAUUAGCAUGGAAUAAUGAGAUAGGACUUUUUUGCUAUUUUGUUGGUUUGCGCAAAGAGGUAAUGAUUAAUAGGGACAGUGGGGGGUAUUCGUAUUCCAUUGUCAGAGGUGAAAUUCUUGGAUUUUUGGAAGACGAACUACUGCGAAAGCAUUUACCAAGGACGUUUUCAUUAA